UCCUCUCUCUUGCUCUCCUUGCUCUCUAUCUCAAAUCUCGAUCAAAAGAUUUGAUUGAGAUUGAGCCAGUUGCACUAAGUGAUAGAGAGAGACAGGGACGAUUGUUCUUCUACCCUGUUCUUAUUUUCAUUUUUUUGCUGGAUGCAGACAGAGAGAGAGAGAGAGCGAAGAGUGCAGAGGAGAAUAGAGGGAAGCUGUCAGGGAGACCAUCAAACCAGGGUUUUACUGUUGCAACGAUACAGAGAAAUUUCCCCCAAACGAUCUCUCUCCAGAUGCUUCGUCUUCGAUCAAGUUUUAAUUUCAUAGCCAUUAACGCAAUAUAAGAGCUUAGUUGAGUAAGGGAAACUGCAACAUGAUCCAAACCAAGAAGCCGUGGCUUCUCAAUUGAAAAACUUGCUCAAGAGGUCAGGGCAGUAUGAGAAAGAUAUGGAGGAAUAUCAUGCAAGAGUUUUUCAAUUUUAAGCUUAAUUUUUAAGUUUGAGGAUUGAAAGCUUGAAUCUUUAUUUUCAAGUUUUGCGAUCAAGCCUUGCGAAUUGGGAGAACAAGAGAGUGUGGCGGAGGAUUUUAAUGGAGGAAGCUGAGAAUAAGCAGAAGAUAAGCAGAAGGACGACAUGUGGACAUCAAUGAACAACCAAAGGAACAAGCUUUUCCAGACAUGGAUGUCCAAGGCUCCUACAAGAUUGUGGAAUAAAAUUUAGUUUUAAGUAGUGAAACUGUAUAAAAUAUUUAAAAAGUGUUCAAACCAUUAUGCUAUUAGCAAUGUAAAAAUUUUCCAUAUA
Rosa rugosa (rugosa rose) is the source of this 779-nucleotide long non-coding RNA. RefSeq lists it as uncharacterized. NCBI's taxonomy places the organism in Eukaryota, Viridiplantae, Streptophyta, Magnoliopsida, Rosales, Rosaceae. The transcript has 2 exons. The record is from RefSeq and is a predicted model, not a curated record.